Molecule: unclassified non-coding RNA, 747 nt
Filed under: Leishmania donovani
Lineage: Eukaryota; Euglenozoa; Kinetoplastea; Trypanosomatida; Trypanosomatidae
Description: gene:LdHU3.18.1290(CDS-product:hypothetical_prote in)
Source: RNAcentral
CUGUUGAGCCGCUGACUUGUCGUCUCGCCACCGCAGACCCCCGGCCUCACUCAGCCAAAGAACUGAAAAGAAAAAAGAGAGAGCACAGAUAUCAACGGCUUGCUUACGUCCACGCCCACACGUCUCUACUCGAGCCUCUUCCUCUCAUUGCCUUGUGUCACAAGCGCACAGCAACCAACUGCACGAAACAUCUUCUUGAAGAGCCAUGUCUGCCAUCAGAACUCUAAUCGCUGCUGUCGCGUUGGCGGCUAUAUUCUUCGUCAGCCCCGCCGCGGCCGCCCCUGGAGACCUGGUGGAGAACGUAAAUAAUCAGACGUGCAGCAAGGGCUGCGUGGCGGGUCUUCUGGUAAUGGCUGCUAUCAUCAGUGUCGUCUUUGCGUCUUUGAUGUGCUUCAUCUUCUGGCCCGCUGCGGAGCUGACGAGCCGCCAGGAGGGGCGCGCCAUCGCCCGCAAGCGCAUUCGCGAUCGCAGGGUUGCUGAGGAAGAGUCUCGCGCCAAGAAUGAGGUGCUCGAUGGUCGCGACGUGUGAGUAAGCCUCCCUCACCCGAAACCACCGCUAUCACGCGCUCCUCUUUUGUAUUGAUUGCUUGUUCAGAAUAGCACAAGGGUAGAAGGGACGGUAUCUGCUACGCUUCCCCUUACACUAUCUUCUAUGCUGGUACACACACGUGUGGGUGUUCGGCUGAUGCGACCUCCACCACCUCUGCUCUCUCAUCGCCUCUUCCUUUCGCCUCACCUCAUGUGCAG